CGCGGGGUGGAGCAGCCUGGUAGCUCGUCGGGCUCAUAACCCGAAGGUCGUCGGUGCUCGUCGGGCUCAUAACCCGAAGGUCGUCGGUUCAAAUCCGGCCCCCGCAA
This 107-nucleotide transfer RNA is filed under the name Klebsiella michiganensis. RNAcentral describes it as "tRNA-Met". It matches the Rfam family "tRNA". From Rfam's summary of the family: Transfer RNA (tRNA) molecules are approximately 80 nucleotides in length. Their secondary structure includes four short double-helical elements and three loops (D, anti-codon, and T loops). The record is from RNAcentral. Lineage: Bacteria; Pseudomonadati; Pseudomonadota; Gammaproteobacteria; Enterobacterales; Enterobacteriaceae.